Molecule: long non-coding RNA, 1178 nt
Organism: Dermochelys coriacea (leatherback sea turtle)
Lineage: Eukaryota; Metazoa; Chordata; Testudines; Dermochelyidae
Exons: 3
Source: RefSeq, a predicted model, not a curated record
CAUAUCCUUUUCCUUUCCUGUGCUAGUUCCCUUUGCUACAGUUUUUUUUUUCAUGUAGUUUUAGUCCACCAGAAGGGUAUAUUUUUAUUGGGUUUCUCUUUCUAGCUUUCAGGACAGCUAGGUGAGCAGCUGUGGCAGGCGCAGGCUGGAGCUGGAGCAGUCUGUCAGGACUACCAGGUAGCUAGGAGUAUCCCUAACAAGCUAAUAAUGUUGACCAGACUGGAGUAGGUGCUUUAAUUAGGAGUCUAUAUACCUGCCUUGGGAUCACCUGCUUAGACCCUUGCUUGUGGAUUGGCUGGACACUUAGGACUUGCAGGGUUAGAGCAUAUUCCAAAAUAUGUGGAAGAGUUGCUGACACUGGAGAGAUUUGUUGGGACAUGUACCAAAUCUGGAACCUGGACCAUUUCUGUCGGUAAGUGUGUUGUGUGGAGGACUUUCUACUGUGCAGUAGAACCUCCUGUGCUUCCUUUGAACAGGAGCUCUCUAGGUGCUGGAACCACGUAGGAUCCAUGCUUUGAGGUGGAGGAUCCCCAGGUUGGGAUGCAUGGUAUACUCUUUGUCCUGAGAGAGAUGGUUCGGAGUGGCCGGAAUGGAGAUCCGUGGGCACGUCGUGAGCUGCAUCAGGUAAGGGUACCAGGUCUGUCUUGGCCACGUGGGAGCAAUCAAAAUUACAUAAGCUCCAUCCCUCUUUAUCUUUAAUAGGACCUUCAGCAGAAGAAGAAACAGAGGGAAGGCAUAAAGAAGGCCCUUGUCCCAUGGGAGGAGGAAAGCAUUGCCCAGAGAGUGCUGUCUGAUCCACACCCUGGGACAGUAUCAUGGACACUUCUUGUUCUGAUUUCCAGUGAUUUGAGGGUGGCCCUGAAAUCCUUCAAGAAGGCACCUUCUCAACAAAGAGCUUCACACCUUCAAAGGGAAGGUCCUCCACUAUGGUCUGCAUGUUCUUUGGGAAUCCCAAGCCAUGAUGCCUGUCUCAUCACCACAGCCAUGGAGAUGGUCCUGGCAGUCCUGUCGGCAGUGUUGAGGGCCGACUGCCGUGAUGCUUUUGCCACCAGUUGCCCCUUCUGGAUGAUGGCCUUGAAGGAGUCAUGGAGCUCUCCGGCAGUUUAUCAAUAAAGUCAUUUACCUUAUUAUAAUUUGUGCAGUUAUAUUUAGCCAUGAGCACCUUGUAGUUGGCAAUA